This 282-nucleotide long non-coding RNA is filed under the name Mus pahari (shrew mouse). Its description in RNAcentral is "lncRNA (MGP_PahariEiJ_G0003885.1)". The record is from RNAcentral. Lineage: Eukaryota; Metazoa; Chordata; Mammalia; Rodentia; Muridae.
GUAUGUCUCAGCACCAGCCAGGCACUCUGUGAUCAAUGAAAGAAGACCCUAAAGGCAGACCAGUAGUCUCCUUUACUGGAUUGAAUCAGAUCUACUUUAGGCUCUAUGGAGAUUUCCAUCAGAAUGACCUCUCUCAGCUCAGAAGAAGACGACUCAGGACUGUCCUGGGUACCACAUGACAAGCUGGAACCAGAUUCCUCAGUAUGAUCUGCUUCUGUAAGACUUCUCCUCACUAAGGCUGCUGGGUUUGUCUGCUGUGUGCUAUCGUGAUAAAACUGAUGG